AAGAGUGCAUGGCAAACAAACAUAAUCAUAAGCCAUGUGCUUGACCAAAGACACAAUGGCACAUGGCAUAGGAACAAAUAACUCCCAUCAUGUGCUUACAAUGAAAGACAUGACAUGGAGCGUGAGUAUCCAGAUACUAACAGUGAACCAAAACUAGACAGAUGUGAAAGGAUCCAGACUCACAGCUCCAAACACAAUAAGUUAAACAUUUGAUGCUGCUAAUCAAGUCCUUCAGGCUUAUUUGAAGACUACAUGAUAUAGAUGGUGACCUGAACUCAAUGGCCAGACAGCUGGACUGCACCAGUUGUUGCUGUGGAAAUGAAGUUCUACUGCCAUGUCGAUGAACCGGAUGAAGCACACUUAAUUACAAAGAGGGACAAUUACUUGGGAUGCUAUCUUGCAGUCCUGAAGUCUGCCACAGUAUUAAACAUUAUAUCACCAUAAUGUUUGAUACAGCAAACAGUAAUGAAUGUAAAACCUGGGCUACAGGAUUGCUAAGGCCAAGUGUGAGUCCUGUGUUCCCCUGUAAUUA
Molecule: long non-coding RNA, 532 nt
Organism: Cyprinus carpio carpio
Lineage: Eukaryota; Metazoa; Chordata; Actinopteri; Cypriniformes; Cyprinidae
Source: Ensembl